Molecule: ribosomal RNA, 253 nt
Filed under: uncultured bacterium
Lineage: Bacteria
Description: partial 16S ribosomal RNA
Rfam family: Bacterial small subunit ribosomal RNA
Source: RNAcentral
GACGAGGGGUCCUAGCGUUGUUCGGAAUCACUGGGCGUAAAGCGCAUGUAGGCGGCCUUGUAAGUCAGGUGUGAAAUCCCAUGGCUCAACCAUGGAACUGCAUUUGAAACUGCAAGGCUUGAGUACGAUAGAGGAUGGUAGAAUUCCUGGUGUAGUGGUGAAAUACGUAGAUAUCAGGAGGAACACCGGUGGCGAAGGCGGCCAUCUGGGAUCGAUACUGACGCUGAGAUGCGAAGCGUGGGGAGCAAACAGG